UACGAAGGGGGCUAGCGUUGCUCGGAAUUACUGGGCGUAAAGGGCUCGUAGGCGGCCAACUAAGUCAGACGUGAAAUCCCUCGGCUUAACCGGGGAACUGCGUCUGAUACUGGAUGGCUUGAGUUCGGGAGAGGGAUGCGGAAUUCCAGGUGUAGCGGUGAAAUGCGUAGAUAUCUGGAGGAACACCGGUGGCGAAGGCGGCAUCCUGGACCGACACUGACGCUGAUGCGCGAAAGCCAGGGGAGCGAACGGG
Molecule: ribosomal RNA, 253 nt
Filed under: uncultured bacterium
Lineage: Bacteria
Description: partial 16S ribosomal RNA
Rfam family: Bacterial small subunit ribosomal RNA
Source: RNAcentral